This is a non-coding RNA of Caenorhabditis elegans, 430 nucleotides long. The record is from Ensembl. NCBI's taxonomy places the organism in Eukaryota, Metazoa, Nematoda, Chromadorea, Rhabditida, Rhabditidae.
UGUUGUCCUUGAUGACAAGGUUCGGAUUUCAUAUGUAAAAUGAGGAGGAAAAAAUGUCCUUCGCGUGUGUCCAGUAGUAGUAGUUAGGAUACCUGACGCAAUUAUCAUCAACGACCUUUUUCCUCUCCCAACCUUUUUUUGAUCGCAAGACGUUCGCAGGUCGUUCGGGUCCUCGUUUUUCAUCUUCUUCUUUUCAUUUCAUCGAAUUUCAAUGAGCGAUGUGUUCGCUGCGAUUGUGUCAUUUUUUGAGCGCGCUCCGAUCAUGGCAUGAGGACAAACAAAACACCGAGGGAUUGAGACAGAGGCCAAGAGCUAUUGAAUUUGCGCCUAUUACAUUACAAUUUGAGACGUUCUUUGUUCGGUGGUUUUUUUGUGUUGUGUUCCCGAGAACGUUCGUUUACUUUAUCGGACUUGAGAACAGAUAGACGUG